ACUCCUACGGGAGGCAGCAGUAGGGAAUCUUCCACAAUGGGCGCAAGCCUGAUGGAGCAACACCGCGUGAGUGAAGAAGGGUUUCGGCUCGUAAAGCUCUGUUGUUAAAGAAGAACACGUAUGAGAGUAACUGUUCAUACGUUGACGGUAUUUAACCAGAAAGUCACGGCUAACUACGUGCCAGCAGCCGCGGUAAUACGUAGGUGGCAAGCGUUAUCCGGAUUUAUUGGGCGUAAAGAGAGUGCAGGCGGUUUUCUAAGUCUGAUGUGAAAGCCUUCGGCUUAACCGGAGAAGUGCAUCGGAAACUGGAUAACUUGAGUGCAGAAGAGGGUAGUGGAACUCCAUGUGUAGCGGUGGAAUGCGUAGAUAUAUGGAAGAACACCAGUGGCGAAGGCGGCUACCUGGUCUGCAACUGACGCUGAGACUCGAAAGCAUGGGUAGCGAGCAGGAUUAGAUACCCUGGUAGGAUAGCC
This 473-nucleotide ribosomal RNA is filed under the name uncultured bacterium. RNAcentral describes it as "bacterial SSU rRNA". It matches the Rfam family "Bacterial small subunit ribosomal RNA", at positions 335 to 801 of the family's 1533-position model. The record is from RNAcentral.